Long non-coding RNA from Populus trichocarpa (black cottonwood), 708 nucleotides. RefSeq lists it as uncharacterized. The transcript has 2 exons. The record is from RefSeq and is a predicted model, not a curated record. NCBI's taxonomy places the organism in Eukaryota, Viridiplantae, Streptophyta, Magnoliopsida, Malpighiales, Salicaceae.
CCCCCCCCCCCCUCCUUAUUUUCUCUAUCUUUACUUUUUUUUGCGACAAAACACCAUAAAUUUGAUAAAUAAACCCCUGAAUAACAAAGCUGUCCGACUUAUACACAGAGUCCAAAUCUUGCAGGCCAAUUAAGCAGUGAAAAAGGAACUAAACCCUUGAAUCCCGCAUUGAAGGAAUAAGUAAAGUGCUACGUGGGGUUUAGUCCAUGAUAGAAGUAAAUGGAAGGGAAGGGAAGGGAUGAAUCAAGGUAAUGAAUCCUGAUUAGUUUGGGCUUAGAGUCAUGGACACCAAAAGAAUGAUGCGAGUACGCAUUGAUUUGCAGGAGCAGGAUGUGAUGGAUUUCAUCCGGUACUAGGGAAAGGAGGUGUGAAAUGAACUGUUUUGCUAUAAAUCACUAGAGCAAGAGGCUUACUUUCAGGCGACUGAAGUUAUGUCGCUGGAUCAUCUUAUGGUUACUUUGAAGUGGUACUGCUACUAGUUUUACCUGUAAAAUUUGCCUUAUAUGCAACUGCUUUCUCCAGGUAUGCACCAUUGAAUGUUGAACCACUAAAAUCAGAUUCUCUCAUAUCAGCAGCUGUAAAAUUGGCUCUUCUGCAUCAGCCAUUUAGAUUUGCUUAGAUACAAGUUGAUCUAGAACAUGUAAUCACUAUUUCUGAGUAGCAGAAUGAACAUGUAGCGGAAUAUGAAGUGUAUUACUUGUUUUGCUC